UGUGUGUUGCCCAGGUGCACACAGGUGG
RNAcentral lists this non-coding RNA (28 nucleotides) under Homo sapiens (human). Lineage: Eukaryota; Metazoa; Chordata; Mammalia; Primates; Hominidae. The record is from RNAcentral.